RNAcentral lists this ribosomal RNA (497 nucleotides) under uncultured bacterium. RNAcentral describes it as "partial 16S ribosomal RNA". It matches the Rfam family "Bacterial small subunit ribosomal RNA", at positions 28 to 507 of the family's 1533-position model. The record is from RNAcentral.
GAUGAACGCUGGCGGCGUGCCUAAUACAUGCAAGUCGAGCGAACGGACGAGAAGCUUGCUUCUCUGAUGUUAGCGGCGGACGGGUGAGUAACACGUGGAUAACCUACCUAUAAGACUGGGAUAACUUCGGGAAACCGAGCCUAAUCCCGGAGGAUAUUUUAACCCGCUUGGUUCAAAAUUAAAAGACGGUCUUGCUUUACCUAAUGAUUGAUUCCGCGCUGCUUUACCUAGUUGUUAAGGUAACGGCUUACCAAGGCAACGAUGCAUAGCCGACCUGAGAGGGUGAUCGGCCACACUGGAACUGAGACACGGUCCAGACUCCUACGGGAGGCAGCAGUAGGGAAUCUUCCGCAAUGGGCGAAAGCCUGACGGAGCAACGCCGCGUGAGUGAUGAAGGUCUUCGGAUCGUAAAACUCUGUUAUUAGGGAAGAACAUAUGUGUAAGUAACUGUGCACAUCUUGACGGUACCUAAUCAGAAAGCCACGGCUAACUACGUG